AGUGAACGCUGGCGGUAGGCCUAACACAUGCAAGUCGAACGGCAGCACAGUAAGAGCUUGCUCUUACGGGUGGCGAGUGGCGGACGGGUGAGGAAUACAUCGGAAUCUACUUUUUCGUGGGGGAUAACGUAGGGAAACUUACGCUAAUACCGCAUACGACCUACGGGUGAAAGCAGGGGAUCUUCUGACCUUGCGCGAUUGAAUGAGCCGAUGUCGGAUUAGCUAGUUGGCGGGGUAAAGGCCCACCAAGGCGACGAUCCGUAGCUGGUCUGAGAGGAUGAUCAGCCACACUGGAACUGAGACACGGUCCAGACUCCUACGGGAGGCAGCAGUGGGGAAUAUUGGACAAUGGGCGCAAGCCUGAUCCAGCCAUACCGAGUGGGUGAAGAAGGCCUUCGGGUUGUAAAGCCCUUUUGUUGGGAAAGAAAAGCAGCAGGUUAAUACCACGCUGUUCUGACGGUACCCAAAGAAUAAGCACCGGCUAACUUCGUG
This 492-nucleotide ribosomal RNA is filed under the name uncultured bacterium. RNAcentral's name for it is "partial 16S ribosomal RNA". It matches the Rfam family "Bacterial small subunit ribosomal RNA", at positions 29 to 507 of the family's 1533-position model. The record is from RNAcentral.